CCAGGCCCUACGGGGCGCAGCAGUCGCGAAACCUUUGCAAUAAGCGCAAGCUUGACAGGGCUAUCCCGAGUGCCAUCCGCUGAGGAAUGCUUUUACCCAGUCUAGAACGCUGGGGGAAUAAGGAGAGGGCAGGUCUGGUGUCACCCGCCGCGGUAAUACCAGCUCUCCGAGUGGUGUGGAUGUUUAUUGGGCCUAAAGCAUCCGUACCUGGCUAGGUAAGUCCCUUGUUAAAUCCACCGAAUUAAUCGUUGGAUCGCGGGGGAUACUGCUUGGCUAGGGGACGAGAGAGGCAGACGGGAUUUUCGGGGUAAGGGUGAAAUCCUAUAAUCCCGGGAAGACCACCAGUGGCUAACGCUGUCUGCUAGAACGCGCCCGACGGAGAGGGAUGAAAGCUGGGGGAGCGAACCGGAUUAGAUACCCGGGUAGUCCCAGCUGUAAACGAUGCAUACUAGGUGUUUGGACGGCCACGUGCGGUUCUAGUGCCGUAGGGAAGCUGUUAAGUCUGCCGCCUGGGGAGUACGAUCGCAAGAUUGAAGUUAUAGGAAUUGGCGGGGGAGCACACUAAGGGGUGAAGCUUGCGGCUAAUUGGAGUCGCGCCGG
RNAcentral lists this ribosomal RNA (600 nucleotides) under uncultured archaeon. RNAcentral describes it as "bacterial SSU rRNA". It matches the Rfam family "Archaeal small subunit ribosomal RNA", at positions 316 to 921 of the family's 1478-position model. The record is from RNAcentral.